This 274-nucleotide ribosomal RNA is filed under the name uncultured bacterium. Its description in RNAcentral is "partial 16S ribosomal RNA". It matches the Rfam family "Bacterial small subunit ribosomal RNA", at positions 523 to 796 of the family's 1533-position model. The record is from RNAcentral.
AUACGUAGGGAGCAAGCGUUGUCCGGAUUUACUGGGUGUAAAGGGCGCGUAGGCGGACUUGUUAGUCAGAGGUGAAAUCCUGCGGCUUAACCGUAGAACUGCCUUUGAUACUGCAAGUCUUGAGUUCGGAAGAGAGAGAUGGAAUUCCAGGUGUAGUGGUGAAAUACGUAGAUAUCUGGAAGAACACCAGUGGCGAAGGCGGUCUCUUGGUCCGUAACUGACGCUGAGGCGCGAAAGCGUGGGGAGCAAACAGGAUUAGAAACCCCAGUAGUCC